This 497-nucleotide ribosomal RNA is filed under the name uncultured bacterium. RNAcentral's name for it is "partial 16S ribosomal RNA". It matches the Rfam family "Bacterial small subunit ribosomal RNA", at positions 28 to 507 of the family's 1533-position model. The record is from RNAcentral.
GAUGAACGCUGGCGGCGUGCCUAAUACAUGCAAGUCGAGCGAACGGACGAGAAGCUUGCUUCUCUGAUGUUAGCGGCGGACGGGUGAGUAACACGUGGAUAACCUACCUAUAAGACUGGGAUAACUUCGGGAAACCGGAGCUAAUACCGGAUGAUAUUUUGAACCGCAUGGUUCAAAAGUGAAAGACGGUCUUGCUGUCACUUAUAGAUGGAUCCGCGCUGCAUUAGCUAGUUGGUAAGGUAACGGCUUACCAAGGCAACGAUGCAUAGCCGACCUGAGAGGGUGAGCGGCCACACUGGAACUGAGACACGGACCAGACUACUACGGGAGGCAGCAGUAGGGAAUAUUCCGCAAUGGGCGAAAGCAUGACGGAGCAACGCCGCGUGAGUGAUGAAGGUCUUCGGAUCGUAAAACUCUGUUAUUAGGGAAGAACAUAUGUGUAAGUAAAUGUGCACAUCUUGACGGUAACUAAUCAGAAAGCCACGGCUAACUACGUG